GAUGAACGCUGGCGGCGUGCUUAACACAUGCAAGUCGAGCGGGAAUGCGGAGGCGGAAUUUUUCGGAAGGAAGCCUUUGCGUUUUAGCGGCGGACGGGUGAGUAACGCGUGGAUAACCUGCCCCAUACCGGGGGAUAACAGUUAGAAAUGACUGCUAAUACCGCAUAAGCGCACAGAGCCGCAUGGCGCAGUGUGAAAAACUCCGGUGGUAUGGGAUGGAUCCGCGUCUGAUUAGCUAGUUGGCGGGGUAACGGCCCACCAAGGCAGCGAUCAGUAGCCGACCUGAGAGGGUGGCCGGCCACAUUGGGACUGAGACACGGCCCAA
This 325-nucleotide ribosomal RNA is filed under the name uncultured bacterium. RNAcentral's name for it is "bacterial SSU rRNA". It matches the Rfam family "Bacterial small subunit ribosomal RNA", at positions 28 to 334 of the family's 1533-position model. The record is from RNAcentral.